GUGAAACAUUGCAAAGCCAUUUCUUGUUUGUUUUUUUUUAAAUAAACUAUAUUUUAGACUUGUGCGCGGUGAAAAAUUGUGAUUCGGCUGAAUAACUUUAUGUGAAAACAAAUGAGUUUGGGUAGUUCGAUAGUCGUCCAUGUGGAGUUUCGGCUUGCCCAAUUAUCGUGCCUGCAAAAUACUCAGAUAAACCAAAAAGGCGAGAAAAUGGGCCAAUCAG
This is a non-coding RNA of Pelobates cultripes (western spadefoot toad), 220 nucleotides long. Lineage: Eukaryota; Metazoa; Chordata; Amphibia; Anura; Pelobatidae. The record is from the annotation of a GenBank genome assembly.